RNAcentral lists this ribosomal RNA (497 nucleotides) under uncultured bacterium. RNAcentral describes it as "partial 16S ribosomal RNA". It matches the Rfam family "Bacterial small subunit ribosomal RNA", at positions 28 to 507 of the family's 1533-position model. The record is from RNAcentral.
GAUGAACGCUGGCGGCGUGCCUAAUACAUGCAAGUCGAGCGAACAGACGAGGAGCUUGCUCCUCUGACGUUAGCGGCGGACGGGUGAGUAACACGUGGAUAACCUACCUAUAAGACUGGGAUAACUUCGGGAAACCGGAGCUAAUACCGGAUAAUAUAUUGAACCGCAUGGUUCAAUAGUGAAAGACGGUUUUGCUGUCACUUAUAGAUGGAUCCGCGCCGCAUUAGCUAGUUGGUAAGGUAACGGCUUACCAAGGCAACGAUGCGUAGCCGACCUGAGAGGGUGAUAGGCAAAACUGGAACUGAGACACGGUCCAGACUCCUACGGGAGGCAGAAGUAGGGAAUCUUCAGCAAUGGGAGAAAGCCUGACGGAGCAACGCCGCGUGAGUGAUGAAGGUCUUAGGAUCGUAAAACUCUGUUAUUAGGGAAGAACAAAUGUGUAAGUAACUAUGCACGUCUUGACGGUACCUAAUCAGAAAGCCACGGCUAACUACGUG